Molecule: ribosomal RNA, 404 nt
Filed under: uncultured bacterium
Lineage: Bacteria
Also listed under: 1 other name
Description: bacterial SSU rRNA
Rfam family: Bacterial small subunit ribosomal RNA
Source: RNAcentral
UGGGGAAUAUUGCACAAUGGGGGAAACCCUGAUGCAGCGACGCCGCGUGAGUGAAGAAGUAUUUCGGUAUGUAAAGCUCUAUCAGCAGGGAAGAAGUUGACGGUACCUGAGUAAGAAGCCCCGGCUAACUACGUGCCAGCAGCCGCGGUAAUACGUAGGGGGCAAGCGUUAUCCGGAUUUACUGGGUGUAAAGGGAGCGUAGACGGCAGUGCAAGUCUGAAGUGAAAGCCCCGGGCUUAACCCGGGAACUGCUUUGGAAACUGUACGGCUGGAGUGCUGGAGAGGUAAGCGGAAUUCCUAGUGUAGCGGUGAAAUGCGUAGAUAUUAGGAGGAACACCAGUGGCGAAGGCGGCUUACUGGACAGUAACUGACGUUGAGGCUCGAAAGCGUGGGGAGCAAACAGG